UAUCUCUGUAGAGUCUGCAUAUCAAUAAGCGGAGGAAAAGAAACUAACAAGGAUUCCCUUAGUAACGGCGAGUGAAGCGGGAAGAGCUCAAAUUUGAAAUCUUCAAGGUUCUACCUUGACGAAUUGUAGUUUAAAGAAGUGUUUUCUGUUAGAUGAGUAGCAAAAGUUCCUUGGAAUGGGACAUCAUAGAGGGUGAGAAUUCCGUAUUUGGUUAUUCAUUCUAGCUUUGUGAUACACUUUCAAAGAGUCGGAUUGUUUGGGAAUGCAGUCCAAAAUGGGUGGUAAAUUUCAUCUAAAGCUAAAUAUUGGCGAGAGACCGAUAGCGAACAAGUACCGUGAGGGAAAGAUGAAAAGAACUUUGAAAAGAGAGUUAAACAGUACGUGAAAUUGUCAAAAGGGAAGCGUUUGACACCAGUGUUGUUUUCUCGAAAAUCAAUUACGAAUGGCUUGAUUUUGUGUUGUAUUGACCUUAUCAGCUUUCUUCACUUUUUUCGAGUCUUUCUUAAUGCACUUUUCGGUUAACAAGUCAACAUCAAUUUCUUUUGUUGUAAAAGAGUAUUCGGAAGGUGGCUUUCUUUUCGGAGAAAGUGUUUAUAGCCCUAUACUUCUACAAAUCGGAGAGAUUGAGGUCUGCAGCGUAGAUCCUUCGGGGUUAGAUACACUUGUGCUAAGUUGUAGCUUUUCAUAGACAACUUGUUGACUAUGUUUAGUCAUGCGGCUUACUCGCUUGUGCUAUUUUACCUACGCUUAGGAUGUUGACUGAUAUGUAGUCGUA
Molecule: ribosomal RNA, 775 nt
Filed under: uncultured Neocallimastigales
Lineage: Eukaryota; Fungi; Neocallimastigomycota; Neocallimastigomycetes; Neocallimastigales
Description: partial large subunit ribosomal RNA
Rfam family: Eukaryotic large subunit ribosomal RNA
Source: RNAcentral